UGAGCAAUCUGCCCUUCUCAUCGGAAUAAGCGUUGGAAACGACGUCUAAUGCCGAAUACGACCUCCUUUCGCAUGAUCGGAGGUGGAAAGCUCCGGCGGAGAAGGAUGAGCUCGCGGCCUAUCAGCUAGUUGGUGAGGUAAUAGCUCACCAAGGCGAUGACGGGUAGCCGGCCUGAGAGGGUGACCGGCCACACUGGGACUGAGACACGGCCCAGACCUCUACGGGAGG
Molecule: ribosomal RNA, 229 nt
Filed under: uncultured bacterium
Lineage: Bacteria
Description: partial 16S ribosomal RNA
Rfam family: Bacterial small subunit ribosomal RNA
Source: RNAcentral